This is a long non-coding RNA of Drosophila sechellia, 818 nucleotides long. RefSeq lists it as uncharacterized. The transcript has 2 exons. Lineage: Eukaryota; Metazoa; Arthropoda; Insecta; Diptera; Drosophilidae. The record is from RefSeq and is a predicted model, not a curated record.
GUCUGCUGGCCAGGCCAACUUAAUUUGCCGCAAAUCGAGCAAAACUGCAGCAAACAGAAGCGAACCGAACAACGCACAAAAUUUUCGCCAGGACAGGCAUGUUAUUUUAAAAACUUUAGAAAAAUUCGGGCUAAAGAAAAAAAAAAGAGAAACACGUAUAGAAAAAGGCUUUGAUUAUGCAGCUAUAGUAUAGUAAAAAAGAUUUAACUCGCGGAUAUCAGCUUUCUAUGCAAAUUGACCAAAUUUAGUAAAAGAGUGAAAAUGAAGUUUAAAAAGCAUUCGCUUUAAUUAAAUCCAUUUGCAUAAUAUGUUUAAGAGCAUUACAACCAUUAAAUUUGCAAAUGCACAAGAGAUUUGUUUAAAAUUUUCGCUGUAUGGAUAGAUGGCCAACAUCUUGUACUUCUCCGUCGAAUUGUUCCCACAAGACUCGUUUGGCAGGCACGGCUGACGUCAGCAGCAUUCGUGGAACACUCGCCCGAAAUGCAUAAACACUUUGCCGACAUGGAUCUGCAGUUGUUUAGACAACUUCUUGUCUUGCAACUCGCAGCUGUAACGAGAAACCGAAAAUCAGCGUUGCACUGAAAUGUGGCACAAGCAGAGUUCUACUGUAUUUUGUCUGGAGAUUUUUUGGAUUUUUUUCCCCUCAUUUACACAAACGUCCUCGUCCAAAAAGCAUCUCAUUUUUGGCAUGUGCCUAAAGUGCAACAUUAAAAUAAGAAUUAUGCGGCAGACGGCGAACUGCAUAUCGCAAAAUGCAAAAUGCAAAAUGCGAAAUGCAGCGAGAAAAGAGAGAAAUAAAAACGUCCAGCGUGCGUAUA